RNAcentral lists this ribosomal RNA (450 nucleotides) under uncultured bacterium. RNAcentral describes it as "partial 16S ribosomal RNA". It matches the Rfam family "Bacterial small subunit ribosomal RNA", at positions 354 to 796 of the family's 1533-position model. The record is from RNAcentral.
GUGGGGAAUUUUGGACAAUGGGGGCAACCCUGAUCCAGCAAUGCCGCGUGCAGGAAGAAGGCCUUCGGGUUGUAAACUGCUUUUGUACGGAACGAAACGGUCCUGGUUAAUACCUGGGGCUAAUGACGGUACCGUAAGAAUAAGCACCGGCUAACUACGUGCCAGCAGCCGCGGUAAUACGUAGGGUGCAAGCGUUAAUCGGAAUUACUGGGCGUAAAGCGUGCGCAGGCGGUUUUGUAAGACAGGCGUGAAAUCCCCGGGCUCAACCUGGGAAUGGCGCUUGUGACUGCAAGGCUGGAGUGCGGCAGAGGGGGAUGGAAUUCCGCGUGUAGCAGUGAAAUGCGUAGAUAUGCGGAGGAACACCGAUGGCGAAGGCAGCCCCCUGGGAUGACACUGACGCUCAUGCACGAAAGCGUGGGGAGCAAACAGGAUUAGAAACCCCUGUAGUCC